RNAcentral lists this ribosomal RNA (1559 nucleotides) under uncultured eukaryote. RNAcentral's name for it is "partial small subunit ribosomal RNA". It matches the Rfam family "Eukaryotic small subunit ribosomal RNA", at positions 196 to 1787 of the family's 1831-position model. The record is from RNAcentral.
AAGGGUUGUGUUUAUUAGGUAUAGAACCAAUACCGCUUGCGGUUUCUGGAUGAUUCAUAAUAAAUGAACGGAGCGCAUGACUUGUGUCGAGCGCUGUAUCAUUCAAGUUUCUGACCUAUCAGGCUUUCGACGGUAGGGUAUUGGACUACCAUGGCUUUGACGGGUGACGGAGAAUUAGGGUUCGGUUCCGGAGAGGGAGCCUGAGAAACGGCUACCACAUCUACGGAUGGCAGCAGGCGCGCAAAUUACCCAAUCCUGACUCAGGGAGGUAGUGACAAGAAAUAACAAAACAGGUGCUUACUGCAUUCUGUAAUUGGAAUGAGUAGAAUGCAAAACUCUUAACGAGCACCCAUUGGAGGGCAAGUCUGGUCCCAGCAGCCGCGGUACUACCAGCUCCAAUAGCGUAUAUUAAAGUUGUUGCGGUUAAAAAGCUCGUAGUUGGAGUUCUGCCAGGUGACGCUCGUCCGCCCAAGUGGUGUGUACAGGGCGUGCAUCUGGCCCUUUCAAGGGGAACGUGUCUGCACUUUACUGUGUGGUGCGAGAUCCUUGACUUUUACUUUGAGGAAAUGAGAGUGUUUCAAGCAGGCUUUUGCCGUGAAUAUGAUAGCAUGGAAUAAUAGCAUAGGACCCCUUUCCAAAGCUGUUGGUUUUUGGAACGAGGUAAUCAGAAUAAGGAUAGUUGGGGGUAUUCGUAUUUAACUGUCAGAGGUGAAAUUCUUGGAUUUUUUAAAGACGAACUAUUGCGAAGGCAUCUGCCCAGGAUGUUUUUGUUGAUCAAGAACGAAAGUUAGGGGAUCGAAGACGAUCAGAUACCGUCCUAGUCUUAACCAUAAACUAUGCCGGCUGGAGAUUGGAGUCGUCAGUUUUGUGACGUCUUCAGCAUCCUGAGAGAAAUCGAAGUCUUUGGGUUCCGGGGGGAGUAUGGUCGCAAGGCUGAAACUUAAAGGAAUUGACGGAAGGGCACCACCAGGCGUGGUGCCUGCGGCUUAAUUUGACCCAACACGGGAAAACUCACCAGGUCCAGACAUAGUUAGGAUUGAUAGAUUGAUAGCUCUUUCUUGAUUCUAUGGUUGGUGGUGCAUGGCCGUUCUUAGUUGGUGGUUUGAAUUGUCUGGUUAAUUCCGUUAACGAACGAGACCUUAACCUGCUAAAUAGCGCCGAGUUGCUUUGGCAACGAAGGUGUCUUCUUAGAGGGACGUCACGUGUCUAACGUGAGGAGGUGUGAGGCAAUAACAGGUCUGUGAUGCCCUUAGAUGUUCUGGGCCGCACGCGCGCUACACUGAUGCAUUCAACGAGUUUUUCCUGGUCCGAGAGGAAUGGGUAACCUUUUGAAAGUGCAUCGUGCUAGGGAUAGACUAUUGCAAUUAUUGGUCUUCAACGAGGAAUUCCUAGUAGACGUAGUUCAUCAGACUGCAUCGAUUACGUCCCUGCCCUUUGUACACACCGCCCGUCGCUCCUACCGAUUGGAUGAUCCGGUGAGCUAUUCGGACCUUCGCUUCGUCGAUUUUCGGCUUUGUGAGGGAAAGUCUCGCGAACCUUAUCAUCUAGAGGAAGGAGAA